AUUGAACGCUGGCGGAAUGCUUUACACAUGCAAGUCGAACGGUAGAGGGGGCAACCCCUCGAGAGUGGCGAACGGGUGAGUAAUAUAUCGGAACGUGCCCAGUCGUGGGGGAUAACGUAGCGAAAGUUACGCUAAUACCGCAUACGAUCUAAGGAUGAAAGCGGGGGAUCGCAAGACCUCGCGCGAUUGGAGCGGCCGAUAUCAGAUUAUGUAGUUGGUGGGGUAAAGGCUCACCAAGCCAACGAUCUGUAGCUGGUCUGAGAGGACGACCAGCCACACUGGAACUGAGACACGGUCCAGACUUCUACGGGAGGCAGCAGUGGGGAAUUUUGGACAAUGGACGCAAGUCUGAUCCAGCCAUUCCGCGUGCAGGAUGAAGGCCCUCGGGUUGUAAACUGCUUUUGUACGGAACGAAAAGGUCUCUCUUAAUACGGGGGGCUCAUGACGGUACCGUAAGAAUAAGCACCGGCUAACUACGUGCCAGCCGCCGCCGUAA
Molecule: ribosomal RNA, 496 nt
Filed under: uncultured bacterium
Lineage: Bacteria
Description: partial 16S ribosomal RNA
Rfam family: Bacterial small subunit ribosomal RNA
Source: RNAcentral